GAUGAACGCUGACAGAAUGCUUAACACAUGCAAGUCAACUUGAAUUUGGGUUUUUAACUUAGGUUUGGGUGGCGGACGGGUGAGUAACGCGUAAAGAACUUGCCUCUCAGCUAGGGACAACAUUUGGAAACGAAUGCUAAUACCUAAUAUUAUGAUAAUAGGGCAUCCUAUAAUUAUGAAAGCUAUAAGCGCUGUGAGAGAGCUUUGCGUCCCAUUAGCUAGUUGGAGAGGUAACGGCUCACCAAGGCGAUGAUGGGUAGCCGGCCUGAGAGGGUGAUCGGCCACAAGGGGACUGAGACACGGCCCUUACUCCUACGGGAGGCAGCAGUGGGGAAUAUUGGACAAUGGACCGAGAGUCUGAUCCAGCAAUUCUGUGUGCACGAUGAAGUUUUUCGGAAUGUAAAGUGCUUUCAGUUGGGAAGAAACAAAUGACGGUACCAACAGAAGAAGUGACGGCUAAAUACGUA
RNAcentral lists this ribosomal RNA (467 nucleotides) under uncultured bacterium. RNAcentral's name for it is "partial 16S ribosomal RNA". It matches the Rfam family "Bacterial small subunit ribosomal RNA", at positions 28 to 507 of the family's 1533-position model. The record is from RNAcentral.